GACGAACCGUGCGAACGUUGUUCGGAAUCACUGGGCUUAAAGGGCGCGUAGGCGGGCUCCCAAGUCUGGGGUGAAAUCUUUCGGCUUAACCGGAAAAGUGCCUCGGAUACUGGGAGCCUUGAGGGAGGCAGGGGCGGAUGGAACUUCCGGUGGAGCGGUGAAAUGCGUUGAUAUCGGAAGGAACGCCGGUGGCGAAAGCGGUUCUCUGGGCCUUACCUGACGCUGAGGAGCGAAAGCGUGGGGAGCGAACAGG
This 253-nucleotide ribosomal RNA is filed under the name uncultured bacterium. RNAcentral describes it as "partial 16S ribosomal RNA". It matches the Rfam family "Bacterial small subunit ribosomal RNA", at positions 524 to 776 of the family's 1533-position model. The record is from RNAcentral.